Molecule: transfer RNA, 74 nt
Filed under: Phycisphaeraceae bacterium
Lineage: Bacteria; Pseudomonadati; Planctomycetota; Phycisphaerae; Phycisphaerales; Phycisphaeraceae
Description: tRNA-Arg
Rfam family: tRNA
About the family: Transfer RNA (tRNA) molecules are approximately 80 nucleotides in length.
Source: RNAcentral
GCCCCCGUAGCUCAGCUGGAUAGAGCAACGGAUUUCUAAUCCGUUGGUCGGGCGUUCGAAUCGCCCCGGGGGUG